RNAcentral lists this ribosomal RNA (497 nucleotides) under uncultured bacterium. RNAcentral describes it as "partial 16S ribosomal RNA". It matches the Rfam family "Bacterial small subunit ribosomal RNA", at positions 28 to 507 of the family's 1533-position model. The record is from RNAcentral.
GAUGAACGCUGGCGGCGUGCCUAAUACAUGCAAGUCGAGCGAACAGAUAAGGAGCUUGCUCUUCUGGCGUUAGCGGCGGACGGGUAAGUAACACGUGGAUAACCUACCUAUAAGACUUGGCUAACUUCGGGAAACCGGAGCUACUACCGGAUAACAUAUUGAACCGCAUGGUUCAAUAGUGAAAGGCGGGUUGGCUGUCAAUUAUAGAUGGAUCCGCGCCGUAGUAGCGAGUUGGUAAGGUAACGGCUUACCAAGGCGACGAUACGUAGCCGACCUGGGAGGGUGAUCCGCCACACUGGGACUGAGACACGGCCCAGACUCCGACGGGCGGCAGCAGUAGGGAAUCUUCCGCGAUGGGCGAAAGCCUGACGGAGCAACGCCGCGUGAGUGCUGAAGGUCUUCGGAUCGUAAAACUCUGUUAUCGUUGAAGAACAAAUUUGUAAGUAACUGUGCUCAUCUUGACGGUACCUGAUCAGAAAGCCCCGGCUAACUACGUG